RNAcentral lists this ribosomal RNA (253 nucleotides) under uncultured Acidobacteriota bacterium. Its description in RNAcentral is "uncultured Acidobacteria bacterium partial 16S ribosomal RNA". It matches the Rfam family "Bacterial small subunit ribosomal RNA", at positions 524 to 776 of the family's 1533-position model. The record is from RNAcentral. Lineage: Bacteria; Pseudomonadati; Acidobacteriota.
UACAGAGGUGGCAAGCGUUGUUCGGAAUUACUGGGCGUAAAGGGCGCGUAGGUGGCCUUCUUAGUCAGACGUGAAAUCCCCGGGCUUAACUCGGGAACUGCGUCUGAUACUGGAAGGCUCGAGUUCGGGAGAGGAAUGUGGAAUUCCAGGUGUAGCGGUGAAAUGCGUAGAUAUCUGGAGGAACACCGGUGGCGAAGGCGGCAUUCUGGACCGAAACUGACACUGAUGCGCGAAAGCCAGGGGAGCAAACGGG